UAUUUUUUUUUUUUUUUUUUUUUUUUUUUUUUUUUUUUUUUUUUUUUUUAUUAUAGUAUUUUUUUUUUUUUUUUUUUUAUAAAAUAUUAAAUGUUGAUGAAGUGAGAUGAGAAUGAAUGAUUUUUUAUCACCACGAGUAACAACACAAACAAAGUAAGAAAAACUUGAGGUAGGUGUAUUAUACAAAUAUUGUUAUUUUUUAACGUCUUGACAAAUUUUUCUAAUUAUAUAUUUAUCUGCUGGCUAUCUAUAGCCCUUUGUAUAUAAUAAUUAUAAUUAAUAUCAAAAUGUAUCAGUAAG
Molecule: unclassified non-coding RNA, 300 nt
Filed under: Melitaea cinxia (Glanville fritillary)
Lineage: Eukaryota; Metazoa; Arthropoda; Insecta; Lepidoptera; Nymphalidae
Description: misc RNA ENSMCXG00005002091.1
Source: RNAcentral